RNAcentral lists this long non-coding RNA (2121 nucleotides) under Phaseolus vulgaris (common bean). RNAcentral's name for it is "long non-coding RNA (PVUL_LNC001086)". Lineage: Eukaryota; Viridiplantae; Streptophyta; Magnoliopsida; Fabales; Fabaceae. The record is from RNAcentral.
AGAAUCAUUAUUAAACUGAUUUAAAAAAUUUCCACGGAAGAGACAUUCCUGUCACUCACAAUAGGCCCAGACAUUUGCUGUCACUCAUAAUAGGCUCACAGAAAUUACAUGCAACAAUUCCACAAGUUCACAACUCAACCCAUAUGCUUGUGAUAAAGAAUAAUGAAGGAUCGAUAUCGGAGACCUCUUUAAUCAUUGUAGACCUCCAGAUCCCUAGAAAAUAUCUUACAAGCACAUCACAUAAUUUCAAACUUGUACAUACACGGUUGGUACUUGGACAACCUAAUCCAAAAAACCCAUAAGGACUUCCUAACUUUUCCAAAGUCUACCCUGUCAAAACAACAAUCAAGAAUUCAAGGGAAAUGAUAACUACACUAAAGAAGAAUUCAGGUUACCAAAAGCUAGCCACGAGAAUCCAAUAAAAAACAAAAUCCAAACAAGUUUAGCCAGUCACGAAUAAAUGCACAAUAAAAUUCAAAAAUAAAGCUUCAUUGGAUCACGUGCUACAGUUUCUACAUUCUACCUUACACAGUCGUAUACAAACAAUAACACAAAUUCCAAAACAAAGGGAUAUUCACUCAUAACACGAUCGAUUAGAUGAAUUCAAACAUAAAGCUUCAUUGAAUCACGUGCUAGAGUGUCUACAUUCUACCUCACACAGUCGUAUACAAACAAUAACACAAAUUCCAAAACAAAGGGAUAUUAACUCAUAACACGAUCGAUUAAAUGAAUUCAAACAUAAAGCUUCAUUGAAUCACGUGUUAGAGUGUCUACAUUCUACCUCACACGGUCGUAUACAGACAAUAACACAAAUUCCAAAACAAAGGGAUAUUCACUCAUAACACGAUCGAUUAGAUGUAGCAUGAAAAAUAUUGCAAACACCACUGCAAAGAAACAAAUGACAACGGAAUCCUUAUAUUUCGUGAUCAAAUCCGAAAAAAUCAAAUAGAGGAAAUUUAUUUUUCAAACACCACUGCAGAGAAACAAAUGACAACGAAAUCCUUAUAUUUCGUGAUCAAAUCCGAAAAAAUCAAAUAGAGGAAAUUCUAAACACUUAUGGAUUUUAAUCCUCAACCAAUCUUUUUAUUUUGAUAGAUCUCUAUCACCAAAUAAAAGAAUGCAUUCAAAUAGAUAGUCACGAAUGAACACAUUAGAAAAUGUAAGGGUAACAAAACCUAUGGUUUCAAAUGAUCCUGCCCAUGUUUCUACAUUGUCCUCACACAUCCAUUACAUGUCUUAUAGCUAUAAAGAGAAAAAAUUCAAGAAAACUGAAAGCACUCAUACUAGAGGUGGAAUUUUAGAAAAUAUUAGACGAAUUCUUAAAUUCAGAAACAAAUAGAGACACUCACCAAAGCUCGACGAGAUCCGGGCAUUAUUUGAAUCCAAUCAUAAACAACUGUAGAAAAACAAAUCUUGAUAUGGAAACAAGAAAAUAUGAUACUGCUAGCUUACCAUAUAAUGAACCCUAAACCCACAAAAGAAGAUAGCAAGUUGCAUAUCGUUCAUCGCGUGUUGUUAUAAGCUGAAAAGGGAUUAAUGGAGACAGUUCAAUCAACACCUGGAUUGGGUAGAGGAAUAGAAUAACAAUUUUACCCAGCCUCCAAAAUACAAUUCCUGCUCUGUGUUCUGAAAAGGGAUUAAUGCAAACAAUUCAAUCAACACCUGGAUUUGGGUAGAAAAAUAGAAUAACAAAGAAAUUAGUUUAUCAAGAGUCGUUCCUUGUUUUGACUUUCACCUCCAAAACACCAUUAUCUUUCUCGCAUAGAAAUCCUGUCCAAAUAGAACAUGAACAAAAAAUGAACGGAAAGGUAUAACUAAUUAAAGAAAUCAUGGCAUAAACAACUCAACAUGUAUGAUUCACUUAGGUGCAAACGUAUAACAAUGGAAACAAACUGCACAUCCUCUGAACUCUUAUCAAUAAGAAAGAAAGUAGUUCUCGCAUUGGAAAAGCCAUUGACGGAUGUUUUCUCCAGAGAAUCUCCUACCGCAAGAAUAAGAAGAAGAGGGAUGUUGCUUUGUGAAUUCUUGAAAUUGAUCUUUUAAGAGAUAAGUACUCUAUUAUGUUCUGUUUUUUACAUGGGAAUCAACCUUCUUUAUAUAUAGCAAAUUGAUUCGUAACGU